CGCGUCUGGUGGCGGCGCUGGCGGCGCUGCAUGCUCGCUACGGCGCCCUGCCAUGGGCUCGGGUCUUGCAGCCCGCUAUCGACUUAGCAAGAAACGGUUUCAACGUAUCUGAGAGUUUGGCGAUAAUGGAGACCGCGGCAGGCAACACCGAUGUUCUGAAAGGAAUGCACCGCACCGAACCCUUGCUAGCUCAAUUCCUUGAGACAUUGCAGCAAAAUACUAGUUCAGAGCUAUCUGCGGCAUGGGGCGGCGCGGCGACGCUGCGGGCGGGCGCG
Ostrinia nubilalis (European corn borer) is the source of this 275-nucleotide long non-coding RNA. RefSeq lists it as uncharacterized. The transcript is spliced from 3 exons. NCBI's taxonomy places the organism in Eukaryota, Metazoa, Arthropoda, Insecta, Lepidoptera, Crambidae. The record is from RefSeq and is a predicted model, not a curated record.